This 388-nucleotide unclassified non-coding RNA is filed under the name Hevea brasiliensis (rubber tree). The record is from RNAcentral. Lineage: Eukaryota; Viridiplantae; Streptophyta; Magnoliopsida; Malpighiales; Euphorbiaceae.
UAAGCACUCUCUUCAUCUUGUCUCUCUUAAUAGGCAUGUCCAACUUUCUAAAGGCAUGUCAGACACAUGUUCCAUGUCGUUUCCCGUGUCGUGUCGACACGAGUAUGGCAUGGCUAAGGGACAAGUCCGAGUAUCGUAGCAUUUAUUAAGUUUAGAAAAGAUUGUAUGUGAUGCAUUAUGAAUGUCACAUAUUACAUACUACAGAUGCCCAGAAAAUACGCGAGGAAACAAAUAGCUUUUCAUUUUAAACUAAUCCCAACAGACAACUUUGUGUCUAACAAAUUUAAAUCAUAUUUCCCAACAUACCAAGGAAACAUGACCAAAAUAUGCUGAAGCAAAUCUCUAUCGGUGAAUAUAAUACCUAAUUCACACCUGAAUAUGUCUAUAA